CCUCCUCCCCUCUCUCAUCCACUACACACAAAUUUCUCAUAUUUGUGUAUGUUGAUGUUUUGUAUUUAGGCGCAUAAGGUGUUUGAGGAAAAUCCAAAGAGGCUGUAGCGUGCUCGCAUUCACCUGUGGAGGAACCAUCACCUACGGGCAUGAGAGGGAAAAAUCCUUCAUUGACCAGGGUGUCGUCUGCAGUAGCUAAAUCAUAUGAGGCUAUCUUCGAUGCAGUCUGCUGGCUAUGGUGCCUGGUGAUGAUAGAUAAUAUGAUACCUUUUAUCAUUUCGGGAUCUGCUCAUACCAUCCAUGAAGCUGUUGUUUAUAUUAUGAGGUUGCUGUAAUGGCCGCUGGCUAAGGGACUACGGCGGCUUGGAGAAGGAUGAGCCCCGUAUUCUGGAUCAUCACGGGAGAAGCUGACAAAUAUUUCUGCAAGAUGAAAAGUCUGUGCUCUUGAUACUUCAAUUCAUACAAGAAAAUUGAGCACGAGCGGAUGAUAAAGAUGCAAAGAGGUUGAGAUGGGGAUGGGGAUG
Molecule: long non-coding RNA, 524 nt
Organism: Lolium rigidum
Lineage: Eukaryota; Viridiplantae; Streptophyta; Magnoliopsida; Poales; Poaceae
Exons: 5
Source: RefSeq, a predicted model, not a curated record